AUUGAACGCUGGCGGCAUGCCUUACACAUGCAAGUCGAACGGUAACAGGUCUUCGGAUGCUGACGAGUGGCGAACGGGUGCGUAAUACAUCGGAACGUGCCCAGACGUGGGGGAUAACGAGGCGAAAGCUUUGCUAAUACCGCAUACGAUCUAAGGAUGAAAGCAGGGGACCGCAAGGCCUUGCGCGUUUGGAGCGGCCGAUGGCAGAUUAGGUAGUUGGCGGGAUAAAAGCUUACCAAGCCGACGAUCUGUAGCUGGUCUGAGAGGACGACCAGCCACACUGGGACUGAGACACGGCCCAGACUCCUACGGGAGGCAGCAGUGGGGAAUUUUGGACAAUGGGCGAAAGCCUGAUCCAGCAAUGCCGCGUGCAGGAUGAAGGCCUUCGGGUUGUAAACUGCUUUUGUACGGAACGAAAAGGCUCUGGCUAAUACCUGGGGCACAUGACGGUACCGUAAGAAUAAGCACCGGCUAACUACGUG
This 482-nucleotide ribosomal RNA is filed under the name uncultured bacterium. RNAcentral's name for it is "partial 16S ribosomal RNA". It matches the Rfam family "Bacterial small subunit ribosomal RNA", at positions 30 to 507 of the family's 1533-position model. The record is from RNAcentral.